UACGGGGGGUCCUAGCGUUGUUCGGAAUCACUGGGCGUAAAGAGCUCGUAGGCGGUUUGUUGCGUCGGCUGUGAAAUCCCGAGGCUCAACCUCGGGUCUGCAGUCGAUACGAGCAAACUAGAGUGUUGCAGGGGAGACUGGAAUUCCUGGUGUAGCGGUGAAAUGCGCAGAUAUCAGGAGGAACACCGGUGGCGAAGGCGGGUCUCUGGGCAACAACUGACGCUGAGGAGCGAAAGCGUGGGGAGCGAACAGG
Molecule: ribosomal RNA, 253 nt
Filed under: uncultured bacterium
Lineage: Bacteria
Description: partial 16S ribosomal RNA
Rfam family: Bacterial small subunit ribosomal RNA
Source: RNAcentral